RNAcentral lists this ribosomal RNA (208 nucleotides) under Shouchella clausii. Its description in RNAcentral is "Bacillus clausii partial 23S ribosomal RNA". It matches the Rfam family "Bacterial large subunit ribosomal RNA", at positions 632 to 838 of the family's 2925-position model. Lineage: Bacteria; Bacillati; Bacillota; Bacilli; Caryophanales; Bacillaceae. The record is from RNAcentral.
GGUAUCGUGCAAGGUUAAGCUGAUGAAGCGGAGCCGCAGCGAAAGCGAGUCUGAAUAGGGCGCCUUUAGUACGAUGCCGUAGACCCGAAACCGGGUGAUCUACCCAUGUCCAGGGUGAAGGUCGGGUAACACCGACUGGAGGCCCGAACCCACGCAAGUUGAAAAUUGCGGGGAUGAGGUGUGGGUAGGGGUGAAAUGCCAAUCGAAC